This is a long non-coding RNA of Myotis daubentonii (Daubenton's bat), 418 nucleotides long. RefSeq lists it as uncharacterized. Lineage: Eukaryota; Metazoa; Chordata; Mammalia; Chiroptera; Vespertilionidae. The record is from RefSeq and is a predicted model, not a curated record.
GGUGCCCAGGUCAGAUCCACUGUGAUCUCCUCUCCGCCCGCCCCCUCAGGCAGGGUGGGGGCCAGGGCAGGGCAGGGCAGGGCGUGGAACUGCUGACCAGCUUUCGUAUAGAGGCCCCGAGGCUAAGCAGGUCCUGCCCCUCCUCACCAGCACAUGGAAGUGUAGCCGCUCACAAGUGACAUUCCCCACAGUGAGCCGGAGCCGCCGGGGGGCCAGCCUCUGGCCAGCGCCGUCAAAAGCUGCCCGGGCUCCAGCUGUCCACUCGUCCAGUGAUGCUGUGAACCGCACCCAUGCUGAGCCGUCCACUUUGCCUGAAACAGGACCACUCACCUGAGCAGGAUGGCCGCCCCUUGGGCACCCACAGCCACAUCCACCAGGUCAUCUCCAUCCAGAUCUAACCGGCCAUCUACACUUCGGC